AGUGAACGCUGGCGGUAGGCCUAACACAUGCAAGUCGAACGGCAGCACAGUAAGAGCUUGCUCUUACGGGUGGCGAGUGGCGGACGGGUGAGGAAUACAUCGGAAUCUACUUUUUCGUGGGGGAUAACGUAGGGAAACUUACGCUAAUACCGCAUACGACCUACGGGUGAAAGCAGGGGAUCUUCGGACCUUGCGCGAUUGAAUGAGCCGAUGUCGGAUUAGCUAGUUGGCGGGGUAAAGGCCCACCAAGGCGACGAUCCGUAGCUGGUCUGAGAGGAUGAUCAGCCACACUGGAACUGAGACACGGUCCAGACUCCUACGGGAGGCAGCAGUGGGGAAUAUUGGACAAUGGGCGCAAGCCUGAUCCAGCCAUACCGCGUGGGUGAAGAAGGACUUCGGGUUGUACAGCCCUUUUGUUGGGAAAGAAAAGCAGCAGGUUAAUACCCCGCUGUUCUGACGGUACCCAAAGAAUAAGCACCGGCUAACUUCGUG
This 492-nucleotide ribosomal RNA is filed under the name uncultured bacterium. RNAcentral describes it as "partial 16S ribosomal RNA". It matches the Rfam family "Bacterial small subunit ribosomal RNA", at positions 29 to 507 of the family's 1533-position model. The record is from RNAcentral.